Triticum aestivum (bread wheat) is the source of this 115-nucleotide non-coding RNA. Lineage: Eukaryota; Viridiplantae; Streptophyta; Magnoliopsida; Poales; Poaceae. The record is from Rfam.
UUGCUACUCCCUCUGUUUGGAAUUACUUGUCGCAAAAAUGGAUGUAUCUAAAACUAAAAUACGUCUAGAUGCAUCCAUCUCUGCGACAAGUAAUUCCGAACGGAGGGAGUACUAC